GUUUGUUCUACAUGAAAAUCACAACUGUCUCAUCUGCAACAGGACUUUGACACAUGAAAGUUCCUGGUGCUCAGAGAUGGAAAGUGACCUGACCUCGCUGUGCUGAUGGAAGCCCGAGCUGAACCUGCAGCUGUCGCACAAAGCAGCUUUAGCACAUGCUGCAUGAGUCCUUUCCCAGCCAGCAUGGAGGAUCCUCUUCACCUCCUCACAGCUCUCAUUCCCAUCGCUUGCCUCCUCUCCUCACCCUGGAAAAGAUCUACUCUGGGAGCACCCUGGCAUCCUUAACUCAGUAUCUGCUCUCCACUCAUUCAGCUCUGUCAUUUUAUUUAAAUAAAGUAUCCUGCUCACCCUCCUGUGCAAGUUGCCAUGGGCUGGGAGCAGCUGGGUAUCCCACCCCAGCCAGCCAUGUCCCACCCUCACAGUCAGAACUGUGCUCACAGGAGCCUUGUCCUCUGCCACUGGCAGUGGUACGAGGAGAGGCAAAGCUGAGCCUGUGCUUUGAGCACCCUCUCUGCCUCCUGCCUUCCUCAUCCGGGAAUAAUCAAACAGCCAUAGGGAAUUGCCAUGCUCAGUAUCUUGAGCUACUCUGGUGAGAGUCAUUACAGACAAUAACAGGGAUCCAGAGUGCUUUUUUAUGGGUACAUUUUCAUUAGCUUCUUUACUGGCUAAAAGAUGGAUUUAAACCAGACUGUGCUGGCUGAAGACUCAGUGAAACCUUUGCGAGAAACGAAAAAGGCGAGUGCAAAAGAAGGAAAGGGAGCUUGAGGGAGCUGGUAAAAGGGACUUGUACAGUGAAUAGCAGCAAAGGGAGAACCACAACUGCAGCCCUUCAUCCCCCAACUCUUUCCCUGGAUGAAAGCUUCUCCAUGCAUCACAAAGAAAGAGGGAUCCUCGGGAUGGCCAACAAGAGCCACCAUAGGAACAGCUCACAGUUCCACAUCACCUUCCAGCCAGUGACCCACCUGGACAAGAAAUAUGUUACUCAAGCUAGAAAAUCCUAUGGCAAAACUAAGGAAGCUGCUAGGGCGUCUCCAGGACCAAAGGUUACAAACUCGUGGCUGCAAAGCUCAGUGGCAGCCCAAACUGGGCCCUGACAGACAGGAAGGCAUUUCACAAAACCACCAUGCUCUGCUCUGCCCUCACAAACUGAAAAACAUUGUUUUAGCAGAUGCAUACUAGAAGCUUGUUCUCAGUAAGUUAACAUAUAGGACUAGCCUGCUAAAAUUUUUAGAUUUUCAGGAAUGUAAUAAACAAGAAUAUUGCUUUGAGCAGAUUGCUUGAUGGAAGAGAACAAAAUAUUUAAGUAUUACCAGAGAGAGAACAAUUCAUAGUGUAGUUUCCAUGUUACCACACCAUGCAGAAAGACAGCAUCUUUAACAGUAGCAAAAUAGCAUAACUUUCAAACCUACAGAGAACAAACCAAAAGCCGGAUCUAUCCAUAACCAGCAACAUUCGCUUCAAGUUGCUGCCCUUCCACUGGCUCUGUGCAGUCUGAAAGGUGUAGGAUCCAUGAUCUUAUAGGCAGGCCCUCCUAAAUCUGAGUGGGAGUUUAAUCCUGAGGAAGCAAAAACAAGCCACAGUGACAACAAGGACAGCCAGGUACUUUCCAGGCUCUGCUCUGUUCAGAUUUUCUGAUGUCCUCCUUUGAACAAAGGGUGCCUGCAGCAUCCUCUCCUUGCUUGGUAAGACUCUGCUGGAUGGGGUGGGGUGGGAUGGGAUAUGGUACAAAGCUGUAUGGAGUUCUGCUGGCAUCCGUCGCUGUGCAGGAGGCACAGCUUGUCCUCCCACAGCGUGGGAGAAGGACAGCCUGAAAAUCAUAGAGAUCGCAAAAUGUUGGACUGUUUUCAGGAUUCAGAUUAGUGCUGUGAAGCAGGGAAAUGAAGGAGGAUAUUUCACAGGGAGGCACUCCUAAUAUUAUCACUUCUCACAGUGUCUCCUGUCUUCAUCUCCAAAGUACUGGCCAUUUGUAGCUGGGGCACAUGGAACAGCACUUGCUUCUUCAAAUAAUGUAGCUGCAUAAAGCCACAGUAUUUUCACCUCUCCUAAAAUGCCAACUGGAAGCUACUUAAUCAAAAACUGACAGCAUACAUUGUGAGGAAGAACUUUCUAAAGAGUGCAGUGAGUGUAGCCUGUCAGUAGGAAACAGGUGCCUGGGUUUAGUGGCCCCACACAAAACAGAGCCUGCAGAACUUGGCUUUGGAUAGAAAUGGAUCCCACAGGCACUUUCUCCCUCCUGUAGGCAAGUGAUCAAAGACACAGAGAUCCUCCAAACACUGGCGGCUGUACCUACAUAUAACAAAAGGCCUACAGUAGCCUGCAAGAUAAUUAACUGUGGGAUUAACCUUUAAUUCAUGAUUCCCAGAUGGUUUUCCUGCCUGCUGUAAGGUAGAGCAUUAUUUCCCACUCAGCUUUUUAGAGACCAGCAAAAAUAAAACCAUGGCAUCUUGCACAUGUGAAUGGCUUGAAAAUAUUUUGGGUUUUUUGGCUUAAAUGUUCACAAGGUGUUAAGUAUUUUUGCAGGAGAAGAGAAAAAGACCUAUGAACAUAGUGCACCUACAAUUUAUGGAAAAUACUGUCAAUAUGGUUAUAUAGUUACAAGCACUGAUAUGAUAAAAUGAUAUCUCAGACAAAAAAAUAAGAAAAUUUAUGUUUUAGUAUUGUGGCCUCAGUGAAGGCCAAACAUUUGAUCCUGCUCUGACUACUAUAAACUAAAAGUAAUGUCCUUGAAAUCAGAUUGGCUGCAUGAGGCUAAAACAAGGAAAUGCUAAAGCAGGUAGAAGAUUUAAAUAAUUCUUUAUAGCAGAGGGUCUCAAAAAAGAAAAAAGGGACUACUGCCACUGAAACAGAGGAAAAUAUUGUUUAUAAUGUUAUUGCAAUACUGUUAAGGUUAGGUGUGGAUGUAAAUAUAUAAUCCAAAAUGACUGCCAGUGUCAGUGAUUUCUUGUAUGCAAGAUCUCUGUGACACACAGUGCAGCACUGGGGCAUAGAUGGCUCCAGGGGAGCAUUAAAAGAAGAGAAGGUGUGUCUAAGAUCAAAUUGCAGGCUGGAAAGAGAGGCCAUAACCGAGUGCACUGGAGGUUCAAAGGAAAGAACACUCAUUUGUGGAGCUGAGAUGCAAACACAAGGCUAAACCAGCCCUGCUGUGCCAGGGCAACCCGGACACCAUCAGAGUGCAGCUAUGCCACCCCUGUUCCCAGCUCUGCCAAGAGUGCUGUGCUGAGUGACCUUUGCUCCUGGGCUCACUGCAUGAGCUGCUAAACCUCACAGAACAGCGCUGGGGUAAAAUGGGGAAGGCUGAAUUAGGGAAGUAUUUGGAGAGACCUGAUUUUGUCUGAGCUUAAGUCCACAGAUUUAAUGGAAAGUAAAGAUCUAAAGUUCACUUCUAAACAGGAACAAAUUUAACACAUCAGCAAAUGUUUAACUGAAUGCCUGAAGAGGGCAUAGACCCAGAGUAAUCUCCAGAGGCUCUGAGGACGAAGAUUGUGUUAAUUUUAGCAAGGGAAUUUAGGUUUUUCUUUAGUGAUGCUACAAAACAAGAAGAUUAUUUAACCUAAAAUACCUUUGUAUAUCUGCAGCUAGCUAAGAAGCCUGUAACAUAUUUCAUCCUUCCAUUUUCUAAAGCAUUCUGCAAUCUAUACACAGACUAUUAUAUAGGAAUUAAAUCUUCUGUAGGAACAUUUCAAAUCAAUCUGCCUAGAGAGUAAUUUUUUUCACUUCAUAGUUCUGGGUCAAAUAUUAAAAUAGAAUGUGAUAUUUUCUUCAUAAAACCCCACAUUUCCUGACAAAUUACUUUUUCUAAGUAACAGAGACUACUAUUAUGAAAAGAUAUGGUCUUGCAUAUUGAGACAGAGGUUAGUGGCUCUUAGUUUUUGCAAGGAUUUUAAAUUGUAUUCAGAUGUUUAAAGUCAGGAAAGCAAUUUUAGUUCUGGAGACUAUCAGAAGACAAUGUUAGAAUUGAUUUUUUUAUUUGCUGUUGGUUUGGUCACCCAUGGCAGGUCUGCUCUGUGGCUGCCACCCCAGUGUCUCCAGUGUUCCACAAGAGAUCAAAGCAGAACACAGCAUGUGAUUUGAGUCCAAAUGACCUGAUCUGAGCAGAUGUCAGAGCCCAGAAACUCAUUCUCUUGCAGUGGGCAAUGUUCAGGGACUCUGAGAGCAGGCAAAUGCCUCAUCACAUCAAGUAUCAGAAAGCUGAUCCUGUGCCAAAAGUCACCGACCUGGUGACAAGGAUGAUGGCUGGAUGUCCAGCUGGAUGUCAUACACACAGGAUCUAGGACAACAGUUCAUGUAAGCUGGGCAGGAGACAGCUGGCUGAAGUUACACCACAUGAAAAAAGUUAUAACAAGAAGAGAAGGGUAUGACCAGGAAAUAUUUUGAAUUUCAGGCAUAACAAUUCUUCAGGCAAGCCAUAAUUACUAUAUUCCAUAAAUACUAUAUACUGUAUUACAUGUAUUGGUCAUGGCAGGACAGUCUGCCAGAAAAAAGCAUGGUAAAAUCUUUCAUUCAGUAUUAAAAGGUCACCUAAAGAAACAAGUGCAUCUUUCAAACUUGGUUCCCCAGCGCCUGCAAGUUGGAGUCCAAGGCUA
Taeniopygia guttata (zebra finch) is the source of this 4583-nucleotide long non-coding RNA. NCBI's taxonomy places the organism in Eukaryota, Metazoa, Chordata, Aves, Passeriformes, Estrildidae. The record is from Ensembl.